UGUCUCUUUGAAAUAUGAUCCAUAAUGGCUCAUCUUGAAUCACUGCAUAACGAAGUGUCCCUGGCUUUGGGGUCACAGGGUCAUCAUCACCAGAGUCAGUGACCACAUAAAUUUUACCACCUUUUCCACCAAUUGCAUUUUUGCCAAACCCAAUUGCACAAUCUGCUAGCCUUUGUCUAUUCUUCUCCCAGUUGGGGUCACACCUCCAACAAUCAUCAAUGGGGUUUCCUGUCCCACAUGAGAGGCCCUAUGGCAUACAUUUCCCAAUGGGUAUAGUCAUUGUUCACCACAUGGAAAUAUCCAUGCCUACACCUGCAAUAAUCACAAAUGUUUUUCAAAUAUUAGCACUAAUGGCCCCACAUAGUAAUUAAGAGUAUUGACAAAGUGACACACACUCAUCCCCAUGCACAUGCUUUCAUUUCUAUAAUACAUCCUUUUCACUUUCACUUUACUCCUUUUUGUGUUCCAUUUCUUGGUGUGUAUGUGCAAUUUAUCAUAAGAAUUGGAAAAGUUUUAGUACCCUAUUACUAACAUUAAUUUACUUUAUUUUACCUUGGCAUUCUUUGAACAAGCCCUUCUCCAAAGUGAUUAAAAGCUAUUGUGACUUGCAUGUUCUUGUCUUGAGUAUAUGUAUCACUAUGACCCAAUAACAUAACCUUGUCAUGGUGUGUCAUGUAAUUGUUGGAUAAGGUAAUAGCUGUGGACCCAUGAAUAGCAUCAAUUAACCCAUCAUUGCAAUUAGACAAAGAACAAUGAUCCACCCAUAUAUGAGAUCCACCAAAGAUUGAAACACCAUCACCAUCAGAUAUGGUUCUCCACCCAUAGUGCCUUGGGGAGUCUCUCACCAUAGCAUUACCACCUUGCUUACAAUCAUGUAUAUUAAUCCCGUGGACUAUAACAUUUGUUACAUAUUGUAUAGUAAUGCAUGGACCGCCAGCAAUGUGAACACUAGCACCUCUUCCAUCAAUGGUUUUGAAUGAAUUCAUUAUGAGCUCUUCCUUUAGCUUAAUAACCAUGUCUCUUUGAAAUAUGAUCCAUAAUGGCUCAUCUUGAAUCACUGCAUAACGAAGUGUCCCUGGCUUUGGGGUCACAGGGUCAUCAUCACCAGAGUCAGUGACCACAUAAAUUUUACCACCUUUUCCACCAAUUGCAUUUUUGCCAAACCCAAUUGCACAAUCUGCUAGCCUUUGUCUAUUCUUCUCCCAGUUGGGGUCACACCUCCAACAAUCAUCAAUGGGGUUUCCUGUCCCACAUGAGAGG
RNAcentral lists this long non-coding RNA (1260 nucleotides) under Lupinus angustifolius (narrow-leaved blue lupine). RNAcentral's name for it is "long non-coding RNA (LANG_LNC000143)". Lineage: Eukaryota; Viridiplantae; Streptophyta; Magnoliopsida; Fabales; Fabaceae. The record is from RNAcentral.